Neogale vison (American mink) is the source of this 640-nucleotide long non-coding RNA. RefSeq lists it as uncharacterized. The record is from RefSeq and is a predicted model, not a curated record. NCBI's taxonomy places the organism in Eukaryota, Metazoa, Chordata, Mammalia, Carnivora, Mustelidae. The transcript is spliced from 2 exons.
GGCGGGACGGCAGGUGAGGCGGCGCGCGGGUCCUGGGAACCCCCGCGCCGCCCGGCUGCCUUUAAAAGCCCACCGCGGAGGGGGCGCGCGCGGUGGGCGUGGCCAGACGCCGCCUUCCCAUUGGACGCUCCGGCCGGACGUGCGUGAUUCGAGAGGCGCGCGGGAGCGCCGACCGCCCGCCGCCCGGGACCCCCCGGGACCCCUCUCUGGGCCAGCUAACCCCGCCAGGGGCGCCACCGCCCCGGCCACCGCGGGCCGCCCCCCGCCCCGGCAAGGGCUGCACCCCCCAGAGUGACUCGGGGGCCGCGGCGCGCGCGGGACUCGCUUCUCCGGGAACUGCCGGGGAUUGAAUGCAGCAACGCGAUUGGAGGCCGCCCGGGAGCGGGAGAGGAUUCCCCCACCCCUCAACCGUUGUCGCGGGUCGGGGCAAGUGGUUUUGCAAAUGAGAUUUGCCACAGACAUUUGCCCUGCAAGUGGCAAAAUGCCAGGAAUGAAGAAUAAGAAGUGUUAGGAUCCGAAAAAUACAUGAUUCACUUGGGAAAGUUCCAACAUCUGCAAAUACUCUUAGGGCGGCCGCUAAAAGAAACACUGGACUUUUUACAGUUUUCUCUAGAUAUAAUAAAGAUGUCAGAGAUAGGGA